UACGAAGGGGGCUAGCGUUGUUCGGAAUCACUGGGCGUAAAGCGCACGUAGGCGGCUUUUUAAGUCAGGGGUGAAAUCCUGGAGCUCAACUCCAGAACUGCCUUUGAUACUGAGAAGCUUGAGUCCGGGAGAGGUGAGUGGAACUGCGAGUGUAGAGGUGAAAUUCGUAGAUAUUCGCAAGAACACCAGUGGCGAAGGCGGCUCACUGGCCCGGUACUGACGCUGAGGUGCGAAAGCGUGGGGAGCAAACAGG
This 253-nucleotide ribosomal RNA is filed under the name uncultured bacterium. RNAcentral describes it as "partial 16S ribosomal RNA". It matches the Rfam family "Bacterial small subunit ribosomal RNA", at positions 524 to 776 of the family's 1533-position model. The record is from RNAcentral.